GAUGAACGCUGGCGGCGUGCCUAAUACGUGCAAGUCGAGCGAACAGAUGAGGAGCUUGCUCCUCUGACGUUAGCGGCGGACGGGUGAGUAACACGUGGAUAACCUACCUAUAAGACUGGGAUAACUUCGGGAAACCGGAGCUAAUACCGGAUAAUAUAUUGAACCGCAUGGUUCAAUAGUGAAAGACGGUUUUGCUGUCACUUAUAGAUGGAUCCGCGCCGCAUUAGCUAGUUGGUAAGGUAACGGCUUACCAAGGCAACGAUGCGUAGCCGACCUGAGAGGGUGAUUGGCCACACUGGAACUGAGACACGGUCCAGACUCCUACGGGAGGCAGCAGUAGGGAAUCUUCCGCAAUGGGCGAAAGCCUGACGGAGCAACGCCGCGUGAGUGAUGAAGGUCUUCGGAUCGUAAAACUCUGUUAUUAGGGAAGAACAAAUGUGUAAGUAACUAUGCACGUCUUGACGGUACCUAAUCAGAAAGCCACGGCUAACUACGUG
Molecule: ribosomal RNA, 497 nt
Filed under: uncultured bacterium
Lineage: Bacteria
Description: partial 16S ribosomal RNA
Rfam family: Bacterial small subunit ribosomal RNA
Source: RNAcentral